Molecule: long non-coding RNA, 2243 nt
Organism: Papaver somniferum (opium poppy)
Lineage: Eukaryota; Viridiplantae; Streptophyta; Magnoliopsida; Ranunculales; Papaveraceae
Exons: 6
Source: RefSeq, a predicted model, not a curated record
GGUUUAGCACGUCCGUUCUCCCUUCAUAUUCCGAUUAAUGGAAAAUCUCAUCGAGUUCGAGUAAUUUAUUUGUCUUGCCUUCCCUAUUCCAUAACGGAUCAGGAGCCCUAGAUGUCUUUCUAUUCUCUCCCCAACAACAAAUCUUCAUUGCUUUUCCAUUCUCUCCUCAAUAGCAGAUGAAAGUUUCAAAUCGAGCUUAGAAACCGGCGAUCAAUAAGCACUCUCAUCAUCUUGCUCAAUUGCUCUUAAUGGAUUCUUCUCACCUUCCUUAUUCCUUAACGGCUCAGAAACCCUAGGCUUCCUUGGAUUCUAUCUUCAACGACAGAAGAUAUGCCCAAUCCAAUUGAAUAUUUGGCGUCUUUACAGAACUUAAACGCUCAUCCCUUGGUUAAUUGGAUUUUGUCUAUAAAAUGUCCAAUUCAAUUCGAGAACAGGAUCCGUUUUACCAGUUCAACAUGCUUUUGGGUGUGAAAGUAAACUCUUCUGAUUGAAGUUGUUGGAGUUAAAUGUGGAAUUCGGGAGGAAAAGUACACGUCUGUCACUUCCGGCGGCAAGGUAAUUCACUAACUUCCUAAUAAGUUCACCACACUAUCCAAGUCUUGCUCUGUUUCCAAUUUUCCAUUAACGGUAUUUGAUUCCCCCCCUAAAAUGAUUCUUUGAAGUUUGCAAUGCCAAUUAAUAAAGGCAAAGCACCCAUUCAUAUUUUUGAUCCUGAAAAUUGAAAAAUAGUAUAUCUCACCUCCUCUCCGCCAAAAGAGAUCCAUCCUGCCAGGUUAGUUUUUCGAUCCCUAAAAGAAUUUUAGUUGUUUUAGGUUAUUGUGCAUCUUAUUUUUCUUCCAGAAAACUCUAUUUAUUUGUGCAGUUAACAUAUCUGCGACAAUCCAUAUACGUUAACUCUUUAUACACAGGCAGCAAAUGUUAUCAUGCAUAACGCCAGUGCCACCAAUCUGCUGAUUGAAAGUGGAUGGCACUAUCUCGCAUGCCAUCGGUGUGGCAAAAAAGUACUUGGUGAUGAUGGUGACUUUUGGUGUAUUAAUUGUGAAUCCAAAGUUGAUAUGCCCAUAGCAAGGUAACCACCCAAAAAAGAAAGCUCGCCUUGAUGAAAAUUCAAAUGGAUGAUAAAGAAGAUGCUUAAUGAGUUCCGCCUCAACAACUGAAUAUUAGAUUGAAGAAAACAUUCCAAGUAUUUUUAGUAAUUUUAUGAGCUUUAUGUUUUCUUUGUUUCCAUACCAUGUUUACCAAUUUGCUUACAUACUUGAUAAUAGCCAAUGGCCAUGCUCUAAUAAUGAGUGAUGGCAUUUCAGUAGGCCGAAGUUUAAUAGGAGAGACGAAUUAAUAGGGAUUGUUAGAGUUUCAUUUGUUUUUUUUAGCUGCAGCCGUCCCUGUUCUUUGAAUCACUGUCUAAUGUUAUCAGUCAACAAAUAUUUAUCUACACUGUCAUUUUAAUUUAAUCUUAACUGGAUUCUUUGUGGUUUUGACUUUGGUUUGUUAAUUUUAUCUUGACCGUGUGCAGUAGUAACUCCACAUUUCUAUGAUCAAGCUGCGAUUCAAACUUCCGGAUUAAUGAGAAGACUAGGCGGCCGAAGUUGAUAACAACGUUCUGUUGACCAACCCAAUGGUCACCAACUCUUGCACCUUUCAACAGAGAGCAUCGAGUUACCAUUGCCGAUAUUAAGUCAACAUGGGUGCUGGUACAAAUACUCUCUUUCAAAGACCGUGGUUAAUCAUUUACUGCCCUAUAUGCUUCAUACAUAUGUCAAAACGGGAACACCGUAGUCUCUAUAAAACAUGCUUGACCAGAAUACUCAACACGGCAAGGCUAAUCUUAACCAUGGAAGUCCGCCAUGGAACAGGGACGACAACCUUUGCUGCCGAUGGAAUUGUGGCAGAACGUCUUUUGGGAAACAUGGUGGAUUCACUGAUGCAUAUGAAAGAGGAUAUGAGCCCUCUCCAGGUAGCGGAGCAGGACGAGGAAAUAUUAGACGAUACUCUGGACAUUGCAAAUGUGGCGAAACAACUUCAACAUCUAUACAGCUCGAUGGGACACCCUUUUCGAGGGAGUUGCUGAAUCAAUGGAGGAGACACAUGGAUGAUCAAAACUCAGAUCAGACAUUUAGAUUCGUUUUGCUUUCUUUUCGUGCACAUUUAAAUUUUUUAUUGGUUCUUUUAAUCUUGGCAUCAGUUGGAGCUUCAACGAAAAUAAUUCUUUUUAUCUAAUACUAAAAAAAAGGAGGGAUUAAUGA